AUUUUGUAUGUGAAAAUUGGAGGGAAUUAAACAAUUAGCAUUUUGAUUUUACUUUCUGUUUAGUUUCCUCCAAUAUUUCAUAUCCAAUCU
RNAcentral lists this microRNA precursor (90 nucleotides) under Jatropha curcas. Its description in RNAcentral is "MIR2275 microRNA precursor family". It matches the Rfam family "MIR2275 microRNA precursor family". Lineage: Eukaryota; Viridiplantae; Streptophyta; Magnoliopsida; Malpighiales; Euphorbiaceae. The record is from Rfam by way of RNAcentral.